This 458-nucleotide ribosomal RNA is filed under the name uncultured bacterium. Its description in RNAcentral is "partial 16S ribosomal RNA". It matches the Rfam family "Bacterial small subunit ribosomal RNA", at positions 338 to 795 of the family's 1533-position model. The record is from RNAcentral.
CCUACGGGAGGCAGCAGUGAGGAAUAUUGGUCAAUGGGCGAGAGCCUGAACCAGCCAAGUCGCGUGAGGGAGUACUGCCCUAUGGGUUGUAAACCUCUUUUGUCGGGGAGCAAAAGCCGGACGUUUCCGGCUGUGAGAGUACCCGAAGAAAAAGCAUCGGCUAACUCCGUGCCAGCAGCCGCGGUAAUACGGAGGAUGCGAGCGUUAUCCGGAUUUAUUGGGUUUAAAGGGUGCGCAGGCGGAUUUUUAAGUCAGCGGUAAAAUCGUGGGGCUCAACCCCAUCCAGCCGUUGAAACUGGGGAUCUAGAGUGUGCGAGAGGUAUGCGGAAUGCGUGGUGUAGCGGUGAAAUGCAUAGAUAUCACGCAGAACCCCGAUUGCGAAGGCAGCAUACCGGUGCACAACUGACGCUCAGGCACGAAAGCGUGGGUAUCGAACAGGAUUAGAUACCCUUGUAGUC